UCCGCUAUCUGCCUCACUGCUGACCCCUCCGGCGGCCGCUCCCAGGGUGGGGUCCGCGGAGGAGGCCCCGCCCUCGCCCCUCAAGGCCCAGUCCUCGCCCUCCAUUGGCUGCCUCGUUGAAUAUGCAAUCGCGGGGGCGGGGCGCUGGGGAGACCAAGGCUGAUGGAUACAUUGUAACGCGGCACCGGACCGCCCCUGGGCGGUCCCUCCGGCCCCACCCGCCCAGGCCGGGCCGGCUGGGCAGCUCCCGGCCUAAUCAAUCUCGCCCCUGCGUCGGCUGCAGUCAUCUCGGUCCUUUCCAGUUGUUUUAUCCACACCCCCUCCCCAGCUCCGUCGCCGGUGUUCCUCUUCUCGCUGUUGGUCUGCUUGUUUUUGCGACUGUCCCUCUGUCUCUGUCUCUUCUGUCUCCGCCCGGUCUGCGGCUUCCCUCUCCUCCUUCACCCCCUCACUUACGCUCUUCUCCCUCCCUCCUCCGCUAUCGCCGUAGGACCCUCCCCUCCACUUAAUUCUUUCCAUCUGCAGAAUCGCUCUGCGGGCCGGCUGCGCCGAGGGGGGCCGGGUUCCUGCCCCAGGAAGAACUCCCCGUCCCCACACCCCCGCCCUCCUCCUCUUCUCCCUUCUCAUAUUUCUGCUCUCGGCCCGCCUCGCUCCUUGCCCCUCGAGUCUGCUUCUGUCCUUAGCGUGUCGCCAAAACUCCAGCUGGGGCCAGGGGAUCUCGGGAACCAAGAUCUGUCCGGAGGGAGCCCUGUCCUCGCUGGACACUCCCGGAGCCCUAGGGCCUUCAUCCGCUCAGCGGCGGGACGUUCUGUGGGACCCAGUGGCGGGCGAGGCCCAGCUCACUGUGCCCACAAAGCGGAACUGAUCGGUAUCAAGCCUAUUUGCUUAAAAAAAGAAGGCACCUGAUCGUUGGGAAUAAAUGUGAUGACCCUCUCACUCCCGGAAAUGAACAAGGUUGUCAUGGAACUCUGCUUCUCUCUGAGCUUCCACAGUCGUUCCUGGGCAGAGCCUGGUGGGCGAUCAGGAAAGAUUUGCUGGGCUGAAGACUGGGUGGAUAAAGAGAUGGAUGUGUGAA
Long non-coding RNA from Chinchilla lanigera (long-tailed chinchilla), 1072 nucleotides. RefSeq lists it as uncharacterized. The transcript is spliced from 3 exons. NCBI's taxonomy places the organism in Eukaryota, Metazoa, Chordata, Mammalia, Rodentia, Chinchillidae. The record is from RefSeq and is a predicted model, not a curated record.